Molecule: ribosomal RNA, 305 nt
Filed under: uncultured bacterium
Lineage: Bacteria
Description: bacterial SSU rRNA
Rfam family: Bacterial small subunit ribosomal RNA
Source: RNAcentral
GCCUACGGGAGGCAGCAGUGAGGAAUAUUGGUCAAUGGCCGGAAGGCUGAACCAGCCAAGCCGCGUGAGGGAAGAAAGCGCAUGGCGCCAAUCAGCCAUGCGUUGACGGUACCUCCAAAGGAAGCGCCGGCUAACUCCGUGCCAGCAACCGCGGUAAUACGGAGGGCGCGAGCGUUAAUCGGAAUUACUGGGCGUAAAGCGCGCGUAGGCUGUUGUGUAAGUUGGGGGUGAAAUCCCACGGCUCAACCGUGGAACAGCCCUUGAUACUGCGCGACUUGAAUCCGGGAGAGGGUGGCGGAAUUCCA